Molecule: ribosomal RNA, 489 nt
Filed under: uncultured bacterium
Lineage: Bacteria
Description: bacterial SSU rRNA
Rfam family: Bacterial small subunit ribosomal RNA
Source: RNAcentral
AUCAUGGCUCAGAAUAAACGCUGGCGGCGUGCCUAACACAUGCAAGUCGAGCGAGAAAGUCCUUCGGGAUGAGUACAGCGGCGGACGGGUGAGUAAUACGUGAGAAUCUGCCUUUUAGUGGAGAAUACCUUCGAGAAAUUGAAGUUAAUACUGCAUAAGUCCUUCGGGAGAAAGAUGGCCUCUUUGCUGUCGCUAAAAGAUGAGCUCGCGCACUAUCAGCUAGUUGGUGGGGUAAAGGCCUACCAAGGCUAUGACGGUUAGCCGGCCUGAGAGGGUGUACGGCCACACUGGAACUUAGACACGGUCCAGACUCCUACGGGAGGCAGCAGUGGGGAAUAUUGCGCAAUGGGCGAAAGCCUGACGCAGCGACGCCGCGUGGAGGAUGAAGGUCUUCGGAUUGUAAACUUCUGUUAAGUGGGAAGAAAAAUUUGCGUUUAAUACACGCAAGGAAUGACGGUACCAUUAGAGAAAGCACCGGCUAACUUCGUG